AGCGAACGCUGGCGGCAGGCCUAACACACGCAAGUCGAACGGCAGCAAAGUAUGAGCUUGCUCUUACGGGUGGCGCGUGCCGGAUGCUUGAGGAAUUCCAUGGACUUUUCUUCUUAGUGGGGGAUAACGUAGGGAAACUUCAGCUAAUAACGCAUACCUCCCACGGGAGAAAGCAGGGGAUCCUCGUACCUUGCGGGAUCGCAUGAGCCGAUGUCGGAUCAGCUAGUUGGCGGGGUAAAGGCCCACCAAGGCGGCGAUCCGUAGCUGGUCUGAGAGGAUGAUCAGCCACACUGGAACGGAGACACGGUCCAGACUCCUACGGGAGGCAGCAGUGGGGAAUAUUGGACAAGGGGCGCAAGCCUGAUCCAGCCAUACCGCGUGGGUGAAGAAGGCCUUCGGGUUGUAAAGCCCUUUUGUUGGGAAAGAAAAGCAGCAGGUUAAUACCCCGCUGUUCUGACGGUACCCAAAGAAUAAGCACCGGCUAACUUCGUG
This 492-nucleotide ribosomal RNA is filed under the name uncultured bacterium. RNAcentral describes it as "partial 16S ribosomal RNA". It matches the Rfam family "Bacterial small subunit ribosomal RNA", at positions 29 to 507 of the family's 1533-position model. The record is from RNAcentral.